RNAcentral lists this ribosomal RNA (370 nucleotides) under uncultured organism. RNAcentral describes it as "bacterial SSU rRNA". It matches the Rfam family "Bacterial small subunit ribosomal RNA", at positions 526 to 896 of the family's 1533-position model. The record is from RNAcentral.
CGUAGGGUGCAAGCGUUAAUCGGAAUUACUGGGCGUAAAGCGUGCGCAGGCGGUGAUGUAAGACAGAUGUGAAAUCCCCGGGCUCAACCUGGGAACUGCAUUUGUGACUGCAUCGCUGGAGUGCGGCAGAGGGGGAUGGAAUUCCGCGUGUAGCAGUGAAAUGCGUAGAUAUGCGGAGGAACACCGAUGGCGAAGGCAACCCCCUGGGCCUGCACUGACGCUCAUGCACGAAAGCGUGGGGAGCAAACAGGAUUAGAUACCCUGGUAGUCCACGCCCUAAACGAUGUCAACUGGUUGUUGGGUCUUCACUGACUCAGUAACGAAGCUAACGCGUGAAGUUGACCGCCUGGGGAGUACGGCCGCAAGGUUG